UACAGAGGGUGCGAGCGUUAAUCGGAAUUACUGGGCGUAAAGCGCACGUAGGCGGCUUGGUAUGUCGGGUGUGAAAUCCCCGGGCUCAACCUGGGAACUGCAUCCGAAACUGCCUUGCUCGAGUAUGGGAGAGGGAAGUGGAAUUUCCGGUGUAGCGGUGAAAUGCGUAGAUAUCGGGAAGAACACCCGUGGCGAAGGCGGUUCUCUGGGACGGUACUGACGCUGAGACGCGAAAGCGUGGGGAGCGAACAGG
This 253-nucleotide ribosomal RNA is filed under the name uncultured bacterium. Its description in RNAcentral is "partial 16S ribosomal RNA". It matches the Rfam family "Bacterial small subunit ribosomal RNA", at positions 524 to 776 of the family's 1533-position model. The record is from RNAcentral.